This 810-nucleotide ribosomal RNA is filed under the name uncultured bacterium. Its description in RNAcentral is "bacterial SSU rRNA". It matches the Rfam family "Bacterial small subunit ribosomal RNA", at positions 56 to 885 of the family's 1533-position model. The record is from RNAcentral.
UGCAAGUCCGAACGAUGAAGAGCAGCUUGCUGCUUGGAUUAGUGGCGCACGGGUGAGUAAUAUAUAGGUAAUGUGCCUCUUAGUCUGGGAUAGCCAUUGGAAACGAUGAUUAAUACUGGAUACUCCUUCUAACUCUAAUGUUAGUCGGGAAAGUUUUUCGCUAAGAGAUCAGCCUAUAUCCCAUCAGUUAGUUGGUAAGGUAACGGCUUACCAAGGCAAUGACGGGUAGCGGGUUUGAGAGGAUGAUCCGCCACACUGGUACUGAGACACGGACCAGACUCCUACGGGAGGCAGCAGUGAGGAAUAUUGCACAAUGGGGGAAACCCUGAUGCAGCAACGCCGCGUGGAGGAUGACGCAUUUCGGUGUGUAAACUCCUUUUAUAUGUCAAGAAAAUGACGGUAGCAUAUGAAUAAGCACCGGCUAACUCCGUGCCAGCAGCCGCGGUAAUACGGAGGGUGCAAGCGUUACUCGGAAUCACUGGGCGUAAAGGACGCGUAGGCGGAUUGGAAAGUCAGAUGUGAAAUCCUACAGCUUAACUGUAGAACUGCAUUUGAAACUUCUAAUCUAGAGUAUGGGAGGGGGAGAUGGAAUUAGUGGUGUAGGGGUAAAAUCCGUAGAUAUCACUAGGAAUACCGAAAGCGAAGGCGAUCUCCUGGAACAUUACUGACGCUAAGGCGUGAAAGCGUGGGGAGCAAACAGGAUUAGAUACCCUGGUAGUCCACGCCCUAAACGAUGAACACUAGUCGUCGGGAUGCUUGUCAUCUCGGUGAUGCACUUAACAGAUUAAGUGUUCCGCCUGGGGAGUACGG